Molecule: long non-coding RNA, 613 nt
Filed under: Vigna radiata
Lineage: Eukaryota; Viridiplantae; Streptophyta; Magnoliopsida; Fabales; Fabaceae
Description: long non-coding RNA (VRAD_LNC010350)
Source: RNAcentral
UCUCGCUUGCUUCUGUCCAUAAGGCCCCCUCGGAGUCACUCCAUCUGGUAAUAGCUUCUUUCAUGGUUCAUUCAUAAAACCCUAAAAUUGGAAGAUUAGAAAACCUUAAUUUAAGAUAUUUUCGGUGAAAUGUUUUUUUUUCUCAUUAUGUUUUUGUUGAAGUUUUCUUUAAAAUCGUGGAAAAUAGGAUAAUGUGAGUAAAGCCCAUGAAAGACUUACUCACUCACACUCGUCAAUGGUGAGGUAGUGGACGAAGCAUAACGAACGAGGAACCCUAGGUUUUGGUGUCGAAGAAGGAAAGUGUCGAACAAACCCAAAAUUUUAGUGUUUGUUCGGUGAAGGUUAAAGAUCUGGCGGUGCAGGUGGUUUAAUCGGUGAAAUAGUCCGAUUAAUCGGUGGAAUGAGUGGUUGAUCGGUGGAAAGGUUUCGAAUAUGUGCAGAGGAAGUUCUAAACGGGAGAAUGAAAGAUAUGGUUCGAUGAGGAUGCGAGAGAAUAACAAUUCAUUCAAAUUUUCUCGUUAUAAGCCAGUAAUUCUUUGGCUUCUGAAGGAACCUGCCGCGAAGACUACCUUAGGUUAAACAAGGUGUGUUCUUUUAUGAUAGAAAAUCUUUU